This 536-nucleotide unclassified non-coding RNA is filed under the name Hevea brasiliensis (rubber tree). Lineage: Eukaryota; Viridiplantae; Streptophyta; Magnoliopsida; Malpighiales; Euphorbiaceae. The record is from RNAcentral.
UUCUUCAAUUUGAGAGUCAUUCCCCUCCUCGCUAUUUUCUGAACAAACUUAUCAAACUUUAACAUUGCAACAGUUGAUUUUACAUGGUGAACAUGAUUUUCAGCAAAUUUUAUUUGAAAAUCCUAUUGUUGCUGAAACCUAUUUUCAAUGAUUUAUUACUAUAAUUUGUCAUAUUAAAUCUCCUUAUUAUCCUCCUCACUGCUUUCUUUACUAACUUAUCAUGAAGUACUACUGUAUUUGAUUUUCUAUGUUGAACACAAUAUUCAGCAUUUUUUUUUUAAGAUCCUGUUGUACCUGAGACAGAUUUAUGAUGAUCUCCGAGGUAAGAAGGUCAAGCUCUUUUUGACCAAUCACAUCGAAACACCCAAAGUGUCGAUAUCCACGUAUCCCCCAUUCCAAAACACUGAAUUUUAACCCAAAUAAAGUAUCUCCCAUAGUUUUCGCAUCGCCACACAUUUGACCCUCAGUUUUGGACCAUGCUUCCUUUACAUGUCGAUUGAUGAAAGAACACUGACAGAAUCUUUCCUCUUGAGAAU